UUUAGAUUAUAUUAUUAGACAAGAAAUCAUGAUUUUUAUAAAAAUAAAGUAUGUUUUUUUAUAAGAUUUUUUAUCAGAGUAAAAAAUUUAAGUGGUUUUAAAGGACAAAUUUUUAUGUUUAAAAAAAAAACUCAGUUGGAGGCAAUUGGAGGAAAUAGAGGUGCAAAUCUAUCACCAAAGAGCUGUGCGCAUCCCACCAACAAGCGGAUGUGAUGGACGCGUGUCCUCCCGUAGAUUUCUUCUCCCCGAGGAGCUUGGAAGAAGCAGUGCCGUCCAUGAGAACGUGAUGAUGGAGACGGGAAGCGAAGGGAACGGUGAUAGAGAGGCUGAAUCAGGUGGAGGAUCGAGUGCUGAAGGUGGAGGAAGUGUGGUUAACAAAGGGGAGUGCAAUAAGUAAAAGUCCAAAGAAAGUUUCAAACAGCUUGUGAAGAAUGUGGGAAGCUAAAGGAAGAAGACUUACAAAAAGAACAAUAGUUAUAUAUUAUUGGAUUUGUGCCCAUGUUUUUUUCAAUUUUACUUACAUUUAUUCUUUCCUUUUGGGGAAUGCAAAGUUAAAAUACUUUCAUU
This is a non-coding RNA of Vigna umbellata (rice bean), 567 nucleotides long. The record is from RefSeq and is a predicted model, not a curated record. NCBI's taxonomy places the organism in Eukaryota, Viridiplantae, Streptophyta, Magnoliopsida, Fabales, Fabaceae.